RNAcentral lists this ribosomal RNA (449 nucleotides) under uncultured bacterium. Its description in RNAcentral is "partial 16S ribosomal RNA". It matches the Rfam family "Bacterial small subunit ribosomal RNA", at positions 29 to 523 of the family's 1533-position model. The record is from RNAcentral.
AACGAACGCUGGCGGCAGGCUUAACACAUGCAAGUCGAACGAGAUCUUCGGAUCUAGUGGCAGACGGGUGAGGAACACGUGGGAACAUCCCUUUCAGUUCGGAAUAACGUUGGGAAACUAACGCUAAUACCGGAUACGUCCUUCGGGAGAAAGAUUUAUCGCUGAAAGAUUGGCCCGCGUCUGAUUAGCUAGUUGGUGAGGUAAUGGCUCACCAAGCCGACGAUCCAUAGCUGGUUUGAGGGGAUGAUCAGCCACACUGGGACUGAUACACGGCCCAGACUCCUACGGGAGGCAGCAGUGGGGAAUCUUAGACAAUGGGGGCAACCCUGAUCUAGCCAUGCCGCGUGAGUGAUGAAGGCCUUAGGGUUGUAAAGCUCUUUCAGCUGGGAAGAUAAUGACGGUACCAGCAGAAGAAGCCCCGGCUAACUCCGUGCCAGCCGCCGCAGUAA